Molecule: RNA transcript, 4690 nt
Organism: Pan troglodytes (chimpanzee)
Lineage: Eukaryota; Metazoa; Chordata; Mammalia; Primates; Hominidae
Gene: GLB1
Gene name: galactosidase beta 1
Exons: 17
Source: RefSeq, a predicted model, not a curated record
CACAGCGGGGCGGGGCGCGGGGCUGAGCAGGCGCAAGGGCUGGCUGCUGGGCCGACGAGGGGCGGUGCCAGGCCGUGGGUCCUUAGUCAAGUGACGCGAAGCGGCCGGCCUGGGCGCCGACUGCAGAGCCGGGAGGCUGGUGGUCAUGCCGGGGUUCCUGGUUCGCAUCCUCCCUCUGCUGCUGGCUCUGCUGCUUCUGGGCCCUACGCGCGCCUUGCGCAAUGCCACCCAGAGGAUGUUUGAAAUUGACUAUAGCCGGGACUGCUUCCUCAAGGAUGGCCAGCCAUUUCGCUACAUCUCAGGAAGCAUUCACUACUCCCGUGUGCCCCGCUUCUACUGGAAGGACCGGCUGCUGAAGAUGAAGAUGGCUGGGCUGAACGCCAUCCAGACGUAUGUGCCCUGGAACUUUCAUGAGCCCUGGCCAGGACAGUACCAGUUUUCUGAGGACCAUGAUGUGGAAUAUUUUCUUCGGCUGGCUCAUGAGCUGGGACUGCUGGUUAUCCUGAGGCCCGGGCCCUACAUCUGUGCAGAGUGGGAAAUGGGAGGAUUACCUGCUUGGCUGCUAGAGAAAGAGUCUAUUCUUCUCCGCUCCUCCGACCCAGAUUACCUGGCAGCUGUGGACAAGUGGUUGGGAGUCCUUCUGCCCAAGAUGAAGCCUCUCCUCUAUCAGAAUGGAGGGCCAGUUAUAACAGUGCAGGUUGAAAAUGAAUAUGGCAGCUACUUUGCCUGUGAUUUUGACUACCUGCGCUUCCUGCAGAAGCGCUUUCGCCACCAUCUGGGGGAUGAUGUGGUUCUGUUUACCACUGAUGGAGCACAUAAAACAUUCCUGAAAUGUGGGGCCCUGCAGGGCCUCUACACCACGGUGGACUUUGGAACAGGCAGCAACAUCACAGAUGCUUUCCUAAGCCAGAGGAAGUGUGAGCCCAAAGGACCCUUGAUCAAUUCUGAAUUCUAUACUGGCUGGCUAGAUCACUGGGGCCAACCUCACUCCACAAUCAAGACCGAAGCAGUGGCUUCCUCCCUCUAUGAUAUACUUGCCCGUGGGGCGAGUGUGAACUUGUACAUGUUUAUAGGUGGGACCAAUUUUGCCUAUUGGAAUGGGGCCAACUCACCCUAUGCAGCACAGCCCACCAGCUACGACUAUGAUGCCCCACUGAGUGAGGCUGGGGACCUCACUGAGAAGUAUUUUGCUCUGCGAAACAUCAUCCAGAAGUUUGAAAAAGUACCAGAAGGUCCUAUCCCUCCAUCUACACCGAAGUUUGCAUAUGGAAAGGUCACUUUGGAAAAGUUAAAGACAGUGGGAGCAGCUCUGGACAUUCUGUGUCCCUCUGGGCCCAUCAAAAGCCUUUAUCCCUUGACAUUUAUCCAGGUGAAACAGCAUUAUGGGUUUGUGCUGUACCGGACAACACUUCCUCAAGAUUGCAGCAACCCAGCACCUCUCUCUUCACCCCUCAAUGGAGUCCACGAUCGAGCAUAUGUUGCUGUGGAUGGGAUCCCCCAGGGAGUCCUUGAGCGAAACAGUGUGAUCACUCUGAACAUAACAGGGAAAGCUGGAGCCACGCUGGACCUUCUGGUAGAGAACAUGGGACGUGUGAACUAUGGCGCAUAUAUCAACGAUUUUAAGGGUUUGGUUUCUAACCUGACUCUCAGUUCCAAUAUCCUCACGGACUGGACGAUCUUUCCACUGGACACUGAGGAUGCAGUGCGCAGCCACCUGGGGGGCUGGGGACACUGUGACAGUGGCCACCAUGAUGAAGCCUGGGCCCACAACUCAUCCAACUACACGCUCCCGGCCUUUUAUAUGGGGAACUUCUCCAUUCCCAGUGGGAUCCCAGACUUGCCCCAGGACACCUUUAUCCAGUUUCCUGGAUGGACCAAGGUGUCCCUUGCCCUUCAGCCCACUGGCCCUGACCUUUGUUAGAAGUGGAUGCCCAGCAGCUUUCUGGUUGUCUGUGAAUGCCCGGUGAAGAUUCUGAACUGAUUCCUCACCAGACAGUUGCUCUGUUUGCACCACAAGGGGCUUUCCCACGUGUGAGCAGGCCUCCCACCAGCUUCAUUCCUCCAAACUCCCAAACCAGCAGCACUGUCUCCUAAGAUACAACAGGACAGGCUUUGAGGACAGAAACCCAGGGUCACGUUCCUGCUCCAUCACUUUCCAUCAGCAUGGUCUCGGGCAAGGGAAUCGUAAGCAGGUAACUGAUCAUCUGGAAACCUGGGGGACAAGAGGGAAGAAAUGACACCUAGGAUGCUCCAUCCUUUCCCUGCAUCCCUUUGUGUUCAGUUCAACAACCUGGUUCUCCUCCUGACCAGCCACUGUGCUUGGCUGAGGACACAAAGGUGAAGGAGACAGUCUAGUAUAAAACAUGACACAGACCAGACCCAAAGGGGAGGAAGAGCUCCUGUAGAAAAGGUGAAGGGGCAUCAUUCACCAAACCUCUCCAGCAUUAACCAGAGACUGCUGGAGGGCAGCGUGAGCCUAUGGAAAAGACUCGACAUCCAGGGUUUGGACUUAAAGGCCCCGGUGUGGACUUCUUCAGUGCUCUGAUUCCUUGAAGAUUCUGUUGGCUUGUUCUCAAAACGUAAGCAACUUUCCAGUGCCAACAUAUUGAAUUCCUUGCCCACAGGGCAUUUCUCAUCAUCAUGGGUUGCCAUGUGUGCUGUUGUCUGUUGCUGCAUAAUAAACCAGUAAGUCUGCUUAAGUGGCAUGAAGCAACUAUUUUGUUAUGCACACGAUUCUAUGGAUCAGGAAUUUGGACAGCCCAGCAAGGAUGGCUUGUCUUUGUUCUGUGACGCUGGGGCUUCUGCUGGGUACCAGAACCAUCUGGCAAUUCCUUCACUCACUUGCCUGCUAUUUGGGCCAGGAUGACUUGAAGUUUAAGGCCACUUAGGACAGUCAACAGAGCAUCUACAAGUGGUCUUUCCAUGUGACUCGGGCUUCUUAUAACACAGUAGCUGGGUUCUGAUGGCAUGUUCCAGAAGGGAGCUUCCAGAGAGUGAACAUUGCAACAGAAGCCGGUGGAAGCUGCAUGGCCGUUUAAGGCCUAGAUGCAGAAGUCACAUAGCAUCAGUCCACUGUACUCUACUGGUCAAAGUAGUCAUAACCCAGAUUCAAGGGGAGGAAACACAGAUCCCCAUCCUUGGAUGGGAGAAAUGACAAAGAAUGUGUGGCCAUUUGUAAGAAAUCAUCACAUGUGCACCCAGUGCUAUGUUGUAGCACACUCCAAUUUGUGUAUUUCCGUCCAUUCCACUAAAGGUCUGAAAGCCCAGCAAGCAUGAAUUGAGGUCCAAGGCCCCACUGGUAAGGAGCAGGAGGCCAUUGGCUAAGUGGUUCAUUUAGCCUGUGUUUAGUGAAUUGGAUCCCUUUGUCUCUUUUGCAAAUUGCCAGGCCCCCAGUGGUCUCACCAGAUAUUAACUGAAGGGAAUUAACUGGACACAGGCAGGAAAUCCACUGUGUGAACCCCCCACCAGUCAGAGUUUAUGGAGGUAUGAGAUGAUGGGCACUGCACACAAAGCUCAGUGUGGUUUCUGUUUCUUUGGGUGAAAUCUUUUGAUAUGAUUUCUGAUCAAGAGGUGCAGUCUGUCCAAUUUACUUCAACUUUCUUUAAUUUUUACUAAGCAAUACGAUUAUUAUUAUUAUUAUUAUUAUUAUUUUUAGACAGAGUCUCACUCUGUCGCCCAGGCUGGAGUGCAGUGGCGUGAUCUCUGCUCACUGCAAGCUCCACCUCCCGGGUUCACGCCAUUCUCCUGCCUCAGCCUCCCGAGUAGCUGGGACUACAGGCGCCCGCCACCACGCCCAGCUAAUUUUUUGUAUUUUUUAGUAGAGACGGGGUUUCACCGUGUUAGCCAGGAUGGUCUUGAUCUCCUGACCUCGUGAUCUGCCCGCCUUGGCCUUCCAAAGUGCUGGGAUUACAGGCGUGAGCCACCACGCCCGACUGCAAUAGGAUCUUUUUACCAGAGUGCUUUGGCUGUCGUGGACCACCUGACCUCUUUUCUGGGGACUUUGAAAUCAGGAAGUGUCCCAAGAAGUGCCCAGUGAGGAGUCCCCAAGGUUUCAGGGUGUAUCCUUCUAGUGUGAUGGAUAAGCCCCUCAGCAUUUAACUAUUUUAGUAGGUGGGUUUGUUUUGUUUUGUUUUUUUCAUUUACCCAAUAGACAUUCAUUCAGUACUUACUCUAAACCCCAUGCCACUGUGUAGGACACAUUUCUUGCCCCUCAGGGAGCGCACAGAUCUAUUAAUGAACCAUGUAGCAUUGUGAGGGGUAGACAAUGACAGCGAUGAGAUCAGAGUGCUGUGAGCAUGCUGAAUCCAGUCUUAGACUUGAUGUGGAACAGAGACUGGUCAGGGCAGGCUUCCUGGAGUUGAGCCAGGUGAAGAAUAAGAGAAGAAGGAGAAAAGAUAGGCAUGAGUAGAGCAGAAAGUGCUUCUCAGAGGGAGGCAGCAUCUGCAGAGAUCCAGGGUCUGGAGAGACGACGGAGAAUUCCAGAAAUUGGUGGCAUGUACCUCAAUCUGACUGGGGUUGGAAUGAACAGAGAUGAGGCAGGAGAGAUGCAGGGAUCAGAGCUAUCUCCAACCAGAUGGUAGUAUCCUGAAAAAUUGGCUAUUUUCACAUAUCUUUUGUCCUCUGAAGUUUCUAGGUUCAUGUCUUCAACUUUGAUGGUGCUUAAUAAGAAUAAUAACAUUCAUAAAGUGGU